Molecule: ribosomal RNA, 1764 nt
Filed under: Acinetobacter baumannii
Lineage: Bacteria; Pseudomonadati; Pseudomonadota; Gammaproteobacteria; Moraxellales; Moraxellaceae
Description: partial 23S ribosomal RNA
Rfam family: Bacterial large subunit ribosomal RNA
Source: RNAcentral
AGUCAAGUAAUUAAGUGCAUGUGGUGGAUGCCUUGGCAGUCAGAGGCGAUGAAAGACGUGAUAGCCUGCGAAAAGCUCCGGGGAGGCGGCAAAUAUCCUUUGAUCCGGAGAUGUCUGAAUGGGGGAACCCACCUACUUUAAGGUAGGUAUUGCAACAUGAAUACAUAGUGUUGCAAGGCGAACGAGGGGAAGUGAAACAUCUCAGUACCCUUAGGAAAAGAAAUCAAUUGAGAUUCCCUCAGUAGCGGCGAGCGAACGGGGAUCAGCCCAUUAAGUUAUGUGUGUUUUAGUGGAACGCUCUGGGAAGUGCGAACGUAGAGGGUGAUAUUCCCGUACACGAAAGGGCACACAUAAUGAUGACGAGUAGGGCGAGGCACGUGAAACCUUGUCUGAAUAUGGGGGGACCAUCCUCCAAGGCUAAAUACUCCUGACUGACCGAUAGUGAACCAGUACCGUGAGGGAAAGGCGAAAAGAACCCCUGUGAGGGGAGUGAAAUAGAUCCUGAAACCGCAUGCAUACAAGCAGUGGGAGCACCUUCGUGGUGUGACUGCGUACCUUUUGUAUAAUGGGUCAGCGACUUAUAUUCAGUAGCGAGGUUAACCGUAUAGGGGAGCCGUAGAGAAAUCGAGUCUUAAUAGGGCGUUUAGUUGCUGGGUAUAGACCCGAAACCAGGCGAUCUAUCCAUGAGCAGGUUGAAGGUUGGGUAACACUAACUGGAGGACCGAACCCACUGUCGUUGAAAAGCCAGGGGAUGACUUGUGGAUAGGGGUGAAAGGCUAAUCAAGCCUGGUGAUAGCUGGUUCUCCCCGAAAGCUAUUUAGGUAGCGCCUCGGACGAAUACCAUAGGGGGUAGAGCACUGUUUCGGCUAGGGGGUCAUCCCGACUUACCAAACCGAUGCAAACUCCGAAUACCUAUGAGUACUAUCCGGGAGACAGACUGCGGGUGCUAACGUCCGUAGUCAAGAGGAAAACAAUCCAGACCGCCAGCUAAGGCCCCAAAAUCAUAGUUAAGUGGGAAACGAUGUGGGAAGGCAUAGACAGCUAGGAGGUUGGCUUAGAAGCAGCCACCCUUUAAAGAAAGCGUAAUAGCUCACUAGUCGAGUCGGCCUGCGCGGAAGAUGUAACGGGGCUAAAACUAUGUGCCGAAGCUGCGGAUGUAUACUUUGUAUACGUGGUAGGGGAGCGUUCUGUAAGCCGAUGAAGGUGUGUUGAGAAGCAUGCUGGAGGUAUCAGAAGUGCGAAUGCUGACGUGAGUAACGACAAAACGGGUGAAAAACCCGUUCGCCGAAAGACCAAGGGUUCCAGUCCAACGUUAAUCGGGGCUGGGUGAGUCGACCCCUAAGGCGAGGCCGAAAGGCGUAGUCGAUGGGAAAAUGGUUAAUAUUCCAUUACUUCUGUGUAAUGCGAUGAGAGGACGGAGAAGGCUAAAUCAGCCUGGCGUUGGUUGUCCAGGUGAAAGGAUGUAGGCAUGUAUCUUAGGCAAAUCCGGGGUACUCUAUGCUGAGAUCUGAUAGCAAGCUGUACUUGUACAGCGAAGUGGUUGAUGCCAUGCUUCCAGGAAAAGUCUCUAAGCUUCAGUUACACAGGAAUCGUACCCGAAACCGACACAGGUGGUCAGGUCGAGUAGACCAAGGCGCUUGAGAGAACUCUGCUGAAGGAACUAGGCAAAAUGGUACCGUAACUUCGGGAGAAGGUACGCUGUUGUUGGUGAUGGAACUCGCUUCCUGAGCUGACGACAGCCGCAGAAACCAGGCCGCUGCAACU